Molecule: long non-coding RNA, 521 nt
Filed under: Lepisosteus oculatus (spotted gar)
Lineage: Eukaryota; Metazoa; Chordata; Actinopteri; Semionotiformes; Lepisosteidae
Description: lncRNA (ENSLOCG00000021386.1)
Source: RNAcentral
UGGCUGUCAAACAGUGACAAAGAAGGAAGCUAUUGACAAAACAAAUCAUAAUUACCUGAUGAUAUUACUCUCUUUUGCCUUCUCUUCCCUCCCCCCAGCACCACAUAAAGAACACAUACUUGUGAGGAAUGCGAUGGCGGAUAGGUUUCAGCGGCAGGUGCGAUUAGAUCUCAGCAUGAACGGUCAUUUGAGAUUGGGGGACAGGUAUUCCCAUUCCAUUUCCUGUCCGUCAGCCCUGGACCUACAGUACCUGUGUAUCAACACAGGCCAGCUGGGGCUGCUCCUGGGCUCCUGCGCCAGCACUGUCUAACCUCUGGGUCACGUCAAGGCAAGGUCAAGCACAGCCAGGCUCGUCACCUCCGAUCAGACGUCUCCUUUGUCGUGGAAUUAAUCAACACAACAUGCUGUCAGUCAUGCAGAGGGGAAAAUCAGGAAAUCUUUUCCUCCAAAAUCAUCUACCUGCAGCUUUUUUCCCCAUUAUAGGGGAACAGAAACUAGUGCUCGUAUUAAAUAAAGCCGAG